RNAcentral lists this unclassified non-coding RNA (334 nucleotides) under soil metagenome. Its description in RNAcentral is "partial contains 5.8S ribosomal RNA, internal transcribed spacer 2, and large subunit ribosomal RNA". The stretch from base 1 to 120 matches the Rfam family "5.8S ribosomal RNA", at positions 35 to 154 of the family's 154-position model. The record is from RNAcentral.
GAUGAAGAACGUAGCGAAAUGCGAUAAGUAAUGUGAAUUGCAGAAUUCAGUGAAUCAUCGAAUCUUUGAACGCACAUUGCGCCCGCUAGUAUUCUAGCGGGCAUGCCUGUUCGAGCGUCAUUUCAACCAUCAAGCCCCAGGCUUGUGUUGGAGCCCUGCGGCUGCCGCAGCCUCCCAAAACCAGUGGCGGGCUCGCUAUCACACCGAGUGCAGUAGUUUACUCUUCGCUCAGGGCGUGUGGCGGGUGCUAGCCGUAAAACCCCCAACUUCUCAAGGUUGACCUCGGAUCAGGUAGGAAUACCCGCUGAACUUAAGCAUAUCAAUAAGCGGAGGA